This 123-nucleotide ribosomal RNA is filed under the name Larimichthys crocea (large yellow croaker). Lineage: Eukaryota; Metazoa; Chordata; Actinopteri; Sciaenidae. The record is from RNAcentral.
GCUUACAGCCAUACCACCCUGAAUGCGCCCGAUCUCGUCUGAUCUCGGAAGCUAAGCAGGGUCAGGCCUGGUUAGUACUUGGAUGGGAGACUGCCUGGGAAUGGCUCAUGACCUCCCCAAGUC